UGAAAUGGUUCACAGAUCAAGAUCUGGUCAGAUCUGACUUUGUCGAAUUAAACAAGGAGCUUGGAAACGUAUUUUUGAAUGAAACCAAUUGGGGGAUGUUUGGUUUAUACCAUGGUGAUAACCGAGAGAGGCAAUUGCUAAGUUGUGAUGCACUCAUAUCUCUACUAGAUGCGAACAAUUCCGGAGAAGAAGAAGAAGUGGAAUCGGACAAGGAUUUUAUUUAUGAUUGUUGGGAUUCUUAUAUUGAUGGAGUUGAAGAAGUCCGUGGACAAAUAAGCCAAGACAAGCCAUCUUUGAUCUCUGAUUUGGUGUCUAGUUGGGUGUCAUUUGUUGAUUCCCAAAGCACCUUGAUUCUAUGUGUGUUGUUCUCUGAUACGGGGUGGCCUUCGGACACCACCGCCUCAAGACCGACAAGCCCUCCUCGUGGUCCAAUGACACGAGCUCGAGCCCAAGCCCUACGCCAAGAGGUGAAUUCGCUCCUCUCCACGUACUCCUUUGACACCCCUUUGGAUGGCUUGCUACUUCAUGCCAAUACCCUAUGUUCAAUCAGGUACAUCGACCAAGAAGCGAGCCAUGAAGACCAAGCCAAUGGAGAGAGAGCU
Molecule: long non-coding RNA, 602 nt
Organism: Lolium perenne
Lineage: Eukaryota; Viridiplantae; Streptophyta; Magnoliopsida; Poales; Poaceae
Source: RefSeq, a predicted model, not a curated record